GACCGCGUAGCUCAGUUGGAAGAGCAUUGGGCUAGUAUUCCAAAGGUUGUAGGUUCGAAUCCCGCCGUGGCCA
Molecule: transfer RNA, 73 nt
Filed under: Paramuricea clavata
Lineage: Eukaryota; Metazoa; Cnidaria; Anthozoa; Malacalcyonacea; Plexauridae
Rfam family: tRNA
About the family: Transfer RNA (tRNA) molecules are approximately 80 nucleotides in length. Their secondary structure includes four short double-helical elements and three loops (D, anti-codon, and T loops). Further hydrogen bonds mediate the characteristic L-shaped molecular structure. tRNAs have two regions of fundamental functional importance: the anti-codon, which is responsible for specific mRNA codon recognition, and the 3' end, to which the tRNAs corresponding amino acid is attached (by aminoacyl-tRNA synthetases). tRNAs cope with the degeneracy of the genetic code in two manners: having more than one tRNA (with a specific anti-codon) for a particular amino acid; and 'wobble' base-pairing, i.e. permitting non-standard base-pairing at the 3rd anti-codon position.
Source: Rfam by way of RNAcentral